GCCGAGGUGGCGGAAUCUGGCUAACGCGCGGGCCUUGAGAGCCCGUGUCCCUUCGGGACGUUUGGGUUCAAAUCCCAACCUCGGCG
This 86-nucleotide transfer RNA is filed under the name Candidatus Altarchaeales archaeon. RNAcentral describes it as "tRNA-Ser". It matches the Rfam family "tRNA". Rfam says of the family: Transfer RNA (tRNA) molecules are approximately 80 nucleotides in length. Their secondary structure includes four short double-helical elements and three loops (D, anti-codon, and T loops). RNAcentral also lists the same sequence under 1 other name. The record is from RNAcentral. Lineage: Archaea; Nanobdellati; Candidatus Altarchaeota; Candidatus Altarchaeia; Candidatus Altarchaeales.